Rhinolophus ferrumequinum (greater horseshoe bat) is the source of this 105-nucleotide small nuclear RNA. NCBI's taxonomy places the organism in Eukaryota, Metazoa, Chordata, Mammalia, Chiroptera, Rhinolophidae. The record is from Ensembl.
GCCUGCUUUGGCAGUGCAUAUACUAAAAUUGGAAUGACACAGAGAAGAUUAGCAUAAUCCCUGUGCAAGAGUGACACCCAAAUUCGUGAAGCACCAAAAUAAUAU